GGACAGGUGGCCGAGCGGCUGAAGGCACCGGUUUGCUAAACCGACGUACCCCGUCAGGGGUACCGCGGGUUCGAAUCCCGCCCUGUCCG
This 89-nucleotide transfer RNA is filed under the name Planctomycetota bacterium. Its description in RNAcentral is "tRNA-Ser". It matches the Rfam family "tRNA". From Rfam's summary of the family: Transfer RNA (tRNA) molecules are approximately 80 nucleotides in length. Their secondary structure includes four short double-helical elements and three loops (D, anti-codon, and T loops). RNAcentral also lists the same sequence under 1 other name. Lineage: Bacteria; Pseudomonadati; Planctomycetota. The record is from RNAcentral.